GGAUUGUGGCUCAGAGGUAGAGUGCUCGCUAGCAUGCGUGAGGCACUGGGUUCAAUCCUCAGCACCA
Molecule: transfer RNA, 67 nt
Filed under: Marmota monax (woodchuck)
Lineage: Eukaryota; Metazoa; Chordata; Mammalia; Rodentia; Sciuridae
Description: tRNA.Undet
Source: RNAcentral